This 328-nucleotide unclassified non-coding RNA is filed under the name soil metagenome. Its description in RNAcentral is "partial contains 5.8S ribosomal RNA, internal transcribed spacer 2, and large subunit ribosomal RNA". The stretch from base 1 to 120 matches the Rfam family "5.8S ribosomal RNA", at positions 35 to 154 of the family's 154-position model. The record is from RNAcentral.
GAUGAAGAACGCAGCGAAAUGCGAUACGUAAUGUGAAUUGCAGAAUUCCGUGAAUCAUCGAAUCUUUGAACGCACAUUGCGCCCCUUGGUAUUCCGAGGGGCAUGCCUGUUCGAGCGUCAUUAUAACCCCUCAAGCUCAGCUUGGUGUUGGGGCCUGCCGCACGGGCAGCCCUUAAAAUCAGUGGCGGUGCCAUCUGGCUCUAAGCGUAGUAAUUCUUCUCGCUAUAGAGUCACGGUGGAUGCUUGCCAUUAACCCCCAAUUUUCAAUGGUUGACCUCGGAUCAGGUAGGGAUACCCGCUGAACUUAAGCAUAUCAAUAAGCGGAGGA